CGCUGUGCAUUCGUGUGNGGUGCUCGUCYCUUSGCGAGGCUCGCGGAGUGCGUGCACUCCUCCCUUAGUAAAACACCGCGACCCGUUGCGGGUGGGUCGAACGCGCCGUGCGAUCGUCCCGCUUUGAUUCGUCAAAGCGGAAUCGCGGCGUCGCGGCUCACGUGYGACGGUAAAGAACGAGGCUUGCGUCCGCUUUUAGCGUCCGCGUUGYGGCGGCGGUUUUCCUCGUCCGGUCUCGGCGCGCAAGCGUCGCGGCCGACGAGCGAGCGCCGCGUCUGCUGCAUCGGCUCGGACGGGACGCGUCCCGGUCUGCGGUGGUUUGUUUCGGGCACUCACAGGACCC
RNAcentral lists this ribosomal RNA (343 nucleotides) under Mexipsyche sp. XZ_258. RNAcentral's name for it is "partial 28S ribosomal RNA". The record is from RNAcentral. Lineage: Eukaryota; Metazoa; Arthropoda; Insecta; Trichoptera; Hydropsychidae.